GGGUUGUGAGGUUAAGUGACUAAGCGUACACGGUGGAUGCCUAGGCAGUCAGAGGCGAUGAAGGACGUGCUAAUCUGCGAUAAGCGUCGGUGAGCUGAUAUGAAGCAUUAUUAGCCGGCGAUGUCCGAAUGGGGAAACCCAGUGCAAUCCGUUGCACUAUCGUUAAGUGAAUCCAUAGCUUAACGAGGCGAACCAGGGGAACUGAAACAUCUAAGUACCCUGAGGAAAAGAAAUCAACCGAGAUUCCCCCAGUAGCGGCGAGCGAACGGGGAAGAGCCCAGAACCUGAAUCAGUUUGUGCAUUAGUGGAAGCGUCUGGAAAGUCGCGCGAUACAGGGUGAUAGCCCCGUACACGAAGGUGCACAGCUGUGAGUUCGAUGAGUAGGGCGGGACACGUGUUAUCCUGUCUGAAUAUGGGGGGACCAUCCUCCAAGGCUAAAUACUCCUGACUGACCGAUAGUGAACCAGUACCGUGAGGGAAAGGCGAAAAGAACCCCGGCGAGGGGAGUGAAAUAGAACCUGAAACCGUGUACGUACAAGCAGUGGGAGCAUCCUUUUGGGUGUGACUGCGUACCUUUUGUAUAAUGGGUCAGCGACUUAUAUUUUGUAGCAAGGUUAACCGAAUAGGGGAGCCGUAGGGAAACCGAGUCUUAACUGGGCGUCUAGUUGCAAGGUAUAGACCCGAAACCCGGUGAUCUAGCCAUGGGCAGGUUGAAGGUUGGGUAACACUAACUGGAGGACCGAACCGACUAAUGUUGAAAAAUUAGCGGAUGACUUGUGGCUGGGGGUGAAAGGCCAAUCAAACCGGGAGAUAGCUGGUUCUCCCCGAAAGCUAUUUAGGUAGCGCCUCGUGAACUCAUCUUCGGGGGUAGAGCACUGUUUCGGCUAGGGGGUCAUCCCGACUUACCAACCCGAUGCAAACUACGAAUACCGAAGAAUGUUAUCACGGGAGACACACGGCGGGUGCUAACGUCCGUCGUGAAGAGGGAAACAACCCAGACCGCCAGCUAAGGUCCCAAAGUCAUGGUUAAGUGGGAAACGAUGUGGGAAGGCACAGACAGCCAGGAUGUUGGCUUAGAAGCAGCCAUCAUUUAAAGAAAGCGUAAUAGCUCACUGGUCGAGUCGGCCUGCGCGGAAGAUGUAACGGGGCUAAACCAUGCACCGAAGCUGCGGCAGCGACGCUUAGGCGUUGUUGGGUAGGGGAGCGUUCUGUAAGCCGUUGAAGGUGGCCUGUGAGGGCUGCUGGAGGUAUCAGAAGUGCGAAUGCUGACAUAAGUAACGAUAAAGCGGGUGAAAAGCCCGCUCGCCGGAAGACCAAGGGUUCCUGUCCAACGUUAAUCGGGGCAGGGUAAGUCGACCCCUAAGGCGAGGCCGAAAGGCGUAGUCGAUGGGAAACAGGUUAAUAUUCCUGUACUUGGUGUUAUUGCGAAGGGGGGACGGAGAAGGCUAGACCGGCCGGGCGACGGUUGUCCCGGUUUAAGCGUGUAGGUGUGAUGACCUGGCAAAUCCGGUUAUCUUUAACACUGAGGCGUGAUGACGAGGCACUACGGUGCUGAAGUGGUUAAUGCCCUGCUUCCAGGAAAAGCCUCUAAGCUCCAGAUAACACUGAAUCGUACCCCAAACCGACACAGGUGGUCAGGUAGAGAAUACCAAGGCGCUUGAGAGAACUCGGGUGAAGGAACUAGGCAAAAUGGUGCCGUAACUUCGGGAGAAGGCACGCUGGCAUGUAGGUGAAGUCCCUCGCGGAUGGAGCCGAAGCCAGUCGAAGAUACCAGCUGGCUGCAACUGUUUAAUAAAAACACAGCACUCUGCAAACACGAAAGUGGACGUAUAGGGUGUGACGCCUGCCCGGUGCUGGAAGGUUAAUUGAUGGGGUCAGCCGCAAGGCGAAGCUCUUGAUCGAAGCCCCAGUAAACGGCGGCCGUAACUAUAACGGUCCUAAGGUAGCGAAAUUCCUUGUCGGGUAAGUUCCGACCUGCACGAAUGGCGUAAUGAUGGCCAGGCUGUCUCCACCCAAGACUCAGUGAAAUUGAACUCGCUGUGAAGAUGCAGUGUACCCGCGGCAAGACGGAAAGACCCCGUGAACCUUUACUAUAGCUUGACACUGAACAUUGAACCUUGAUGUGUAGGAUAGGUGGGAGGCUUUGAAGUGUGGACGCCAGUCUGCAUGGAGCCGACCUUGAAAUACCACCCUUUAAUGUUUGAUGUUCUAACCUGGUCCCGUGAUCCGGGAUAGGGACAGUGUCUGGUGGGUAGUUUGACUGGGGCGGUCUCCUCCCAAAGAGUAACGGAGGAGCACGAAGGUUAGCUAAUCCUGGUCGGACAUCAGGAGGUUAGUGCAAAGGCAUAAGCUAGCUUGACUGCGAGAGUGACGGCUCGAGCAGGUGCGAAAGCAGGUCUUAGUGAUCCGGUGGUUCUGAAUGGAAGGGCCAUCGCUCAACGGAUAAAAGGUACUCCGGGGAUAACAGGCUGAUACCGCCCAAGAGUUCAUAUCGACGGCGGUGUUUGGCACCUCGAUGUCGGCUCAUCACAUCCUGGGGCUGAAGUAGGUCCCAAGGGUAUGGCUGUUCGCCAUUUAAAGUGGUACGCGAGCUGGGUUUAGAACGUCGUGAGACAGUUCGGUCCCUAUCUGCCGUGGGCGUUGGAAGAUUGAGAGGGGCUGCUCCUAGUACGAGAGGACCGGAGUGGACGCACCGCUGGUGUUCGGGUUGUGAUGCCAAUUGCAUUGCCCGGUAGCUACGUGCGGAAAAGAUAAGCGCUGAAAGCAUCUAAGCGCGAAACUUGCCUCGAGAUGAGUCUUCCCUUGGACCUUGAGUCCACUGAAGGAACGUUUAAGACUAAGACGUUGAUAGGCUGGGUGUGUAAGCGUAGCGAUACGUUGAGCUAACCAGUACUAAUGAUCCGAGAGGCUUAACCUUACAACACCGAAGGUGUUUUAG
This 2938-nucleotide ribosomal RNA is filed under the name Edwardsiella ictaluri. Its description in RNAcentral is "bacterial LSU rRNA". It matches the Rfam family "Bacterial large subunit ribosomal RNA". The record is from RNAcentral. Lineage: Bacteria; Pseudomonadati; Pseudomonadota; Gammaproteobacteria; Enterobacterales; Hafniaceae.